Molecule: ribosomal RNA, 624 nt
Filed under: uncultured Bacteroidales bacterium
Lineage: Bacteria; Pseudomonadati; Bacteroidota; Bacteroidia; Bacteroidales
Description: bacterial SSU rRNA
Rfam family: Bacterial small subunit ribosomal RNA
Source: RNAcentral
GGGCAGCAUGGUCUUAGCUUGCUAAGGCUGAUGGCGACCGGCGCACGGGGUGAGUAACACGUAUCCAACCUGCCGUCUACUCUUGGCCAGCCUUCUGAAAGGAAGAUUAAUCCAGGAUGGGAUCAUGAGUUCACAUGUCCGCAUGAUUAAAGGUAUUUUCCGGUAGACGAUGGGGAUGCGUUCCAUUAGAUAGUAGGCGGGGUAACGGCCCACCUAGUCAACGAUGGAUAGGGGUUCUGAGAGGAAGGUCCCCCACAUUGGAACUGAGACACGGUCCAAACUCCUACGGGAGGCAGCAGUGAGGAAUAUUGGUCAAUGGGCGAUGGCCUGAACCAGCCAAGUAGCGUGAAGGAUGACUGCCCUAUGGGUUGUAAACUUCUUUUAUAAAGGAAUAAAGUCGGGUAUGCAUACCCGUUUGCAUGUACUUUAUGAAUAAGGAUCGGCUAACUCCGUGCCAGCAGCCGCGGUAAUACGGAGGAUCCGAGCGUUAUCCGGAUUUAUUGGGUUUAAAGGGAGCGUAGAUGGAUGUUUAAGUCAGUUGUGAAAGUUUGCGGCUCAACCGUAAAAUUGCAGUUGAUACUGGAUGUCUUGGGUGCAGUUGAGGCAGGCGGAAUUCGUGGUGUA